Molecule: ribosomal RNA, 1420 nt
Filed under: uncultured bacterium
Lineage: Bacteria
Description: 16S ribosomal RNA
Rfam family: Bacterial small subunit ribosomal RNA
Source: RNAcentral
GAUGAACGCUAGCUACAGGCUUAACACAUGCAAGUCGAGGGGCAGCAUGGUCUUAGCUUGCUAAGGCCGAUGGCGACCGGCGCACGGGUGAGUAACACGUAUCCAACCUGCCGUCUACUCUUGGACAGCCUUCUGAAAGGAAGAUUAAUACAAGAUGGCAUCAUGAGUCCGCAUGUUCACAUGAUUAAAGGUAUUCCGGUAGACGAUGGGGAUGCGUUCCAUUAGAUAGUAGGCGGGGUAACGGCCCACCUAGUCUUCGAUGGAUAGGGGUUCUGAGAGGAAGGUCCCCCACAUUGGAACUGAGACACGGUCCAAACUCCUACGGGAGGCAGCAGUGAGGAAUAUUGGUCAAUGGGCGAGAGCCUGAACCAGCCAAGUAGCGUGAAGGAUGACUGCCCUAUGGGUUGUAAACUUCUUUUAUAAAGGAAUAAAGUCGGGUAUGGAUACCCGUUUGCAUGUACUUUAUGAAUAAGGAUCGGCUAACUCCGUGCCAGCAGCCGCGGUAAUACGGAGGAUCCGAGCGUUAUCCGGAUUUAUUGGGUUUAAAGGGAGCGUAGAUGGAUGUUUAAGUCAGUUGUGAAAGUUUGCGGCUCAACCGUAAAAUUGCAGUUGAUACUGGAUAUCUUGAGUGCAGUUGAGGCAGGCGGAAUUCGUGGUGUAGCGGUGAAAUGCUUAGAUAUCACGAAGAACUCCGAUUGCGAAGGCAGCCUGCUAAGCUGCAACUGACAUUGAGGCUCGAAAGUGUGGGUAUCAAACAGGAUUAGAUACCCUGGUAGUCCACACGGUAAACGAUGAAUACUCGCUGUUUGCGAUAUACUGCAAGCGGCCAAGCGAAAGCGUUAAGUAUUCCACCUGGGGAGUACGCCGGCAACGGUGAAACUCAAAGGAAUUGACGGGGGCCCGCACAAGCGGAGGAACAUGUGGUUUAAUUCGAUGAUACGCGAGGAACCUUACCCGGGCUUAAAUUGCAGAUGAAUUACGGUGAAAGCCGUAAGCCGCAAGGCAUCUGUGAAGGUGCUGCAUGGUUGUCGUCAGCUCGUGCCGUGAGGUGUCGGCUUAAGUGCCAUAACGAGCGCAACCCUUGUUGUCAGUUACUAACAGGUUCCGCUGAGGACUCUGACAAGACUGCCAUCGUAAGAUGUGAGGAAGGUGGGGAUGACGUCAAAUCAGCACGGCCCUUACGUCCGGGGCUACACACGUGUUACAAUGGGGGGUACAGAGGGCCGCUACCACGCGAGUGGAUGCCAAUCCCCAAAACCUCUCUCAGUUCGGACUGGAGUCUGCAACCCGACUCCACGAAGCUGGAUUCGCUAGUAAUCGCGCAUCAGCCACGGCGCGGUGAAUACGUUCCCGGGCCUUGUACACACCGCCCGUCAAGCCAUGGGAGCCGGGGGUACCUGAAGUGCGUAACCGCGAGGAG